AUUGAACGCUGGCGGCAGGCCUAACACAUGCAAGUCGAACGGUAACAGGAAGAAUCUUGCUUCUUUGCUGACGAGUGGCGGGCGUGUGAGUAAUGUCUGGGAAACUGCCUGAUGGAGGGGGAUAACUACUGGAAACGGUUGCUAAUACCGCAUAGCGUCGCAAGACCAAAAAGGGGGACCUUCGGGCCUCUUGCCAUCGGAUGUGCCCAGGUGGGAUUAGCUAGUAGGUGGGGUAACGGCUCACCUAGGCGACGAUCCCUAGCUGGUCUGAGAGGAUGAUCAGCCACACUGGAACUGAGACACGGUCCAGACUCCUACGGGAGGCAGCAGUGGGGAAUAUUGGACAAUGGGCGCAAGCCUGAUGCAGCCAUGCCGCGUGUAUGAAGAAGGCCUUCGGGUUGUAAAGUACUUUCAGUGGGGAGGAAGGGAGGAAAGUUAAUACCUUUGCUCAUUGACGUUACCAGCAGAAGAAGCACCGGCUAACUUCGUG
Molecule: ribosomal RNA, 490 nt
Filed under: uncultured bacterium
Lineage: Bacteria
Description: partial 16S ribosomal RNA
Rfam family: Bacterial small subunit ribosomal RNA
Source: RNAcentral